ACGAGAAUCUGCGGAAAGAGGAUUCGUCCAAUUGAAGCAGAGGACAGUGGCGGACGGGUGAGUAACGCGUGAGGAACCUGCCUUUCAGAGGGGGACAACAGUUGGAAACGACUGCUAAUACCGCAUGACAUAUAGAUGUCGCAUGGCAUUUAUAUCAAAGAUUUAUCGCUGAAAGAUGGCCUCGCGUCUGAUUAGCUAGUUGGUGAGGUAACGGCCCACCAAGGCGACGAUCAGUAGCCGGACUGAGAGGUCGAACGGCCACAUUGGGACUGAGAUACGGCCCAGACUCCUACGGGAGGCAGCAGUGGGGAAUAUUGGGCAAUGGGCGCAAGCCUGACCCAGCAACGCCGCGUGAAGGAAGAAGGCUUUCGGGUUGUAAACUUCUUUUGUCAGGGACGAGUAGAAGACGGUACCUGACGAAUAAGCCACGGCUAACUACGUGCCAGCAGCCGCGGUAAUACGUAGGUGGCAAGCGUUGUCCGGAUUUACUGGGUGUAAAGGGCGUGUAGCCGGGAGGGCAAGUCAGAUGUGAAAUCCACGGGCUCAACUCGUGAACUGCAUUUGAAACUACUCUUCUUGAGUAUCGGAGAGGCAAUCGGAAUUCCUAGUGUAGCGGUGAAAUGCGUAGAUAUUAG
This 635-nucleotide ribosomal RNA is filed under the name uncultured bacterium. RNAcentral's name for it is "bacterial SSU rRNA". It matches the Rfam family "Bacterial small subunit ribosomal RNA", at positions 66 to 700 of the family's 1533-position model. The record is from RNAcentral.